RNAcentral lists this transfer RNA (73 nucleotides) under compost metagenome. RNAcentral describes it as "tRNA-Met". It matches the Rfam family "tRNA". From Rfam's summary of the family: Transfer RNA (tRNA) molecules are approximately 80 nucleotides in length. Their secondary structure includes four short double-helical elements and three loops (D, anti-codon, and T loops). The record is from RNAcentral.
GCCGCUUUAACUCAGUCGGUAGAGUGCUCGUUUCAUAGGCGAGUUGUCAGAGGUUCAAGUCCUCUAAGCGGUA